GACGAACGCUGGCGGCGUGCUUAACACAUGCAAGUCGAACGGUGAAGCGCCUUCCUUUUUGGUGGGUGUGGAUGAGUGGCGAACGGGUGAGUAACACGUGAGUAACCUGCCCCCUUCUUCUGGAUAACCGCAUGAAAGUGUGGCUAAUACGGGAUAUUCUGGGUCUGUCGCAUGAUGGGUCUGGGAAAGAUAUUGUUUCGGUGGGGGAUGGGCUCGCGGCCUAUCAGCUUGUUGGUGGGGUGAUGGCCUACCAAGGCGGUGACGGGUAGCCGGCCUGAGAGGGUGGACGGUCACACUGGGACUGAGACACGGCCCAGACUCCUACGGGAGGCAGCAGUGGGGAAUAUUGCACAAUGGGAGCAAGCCUGAUGCAGCGACGCCGCGUGAGGGAUGGAGGCCGUCGGGUUGUGAACCUCUUUCGCCAGUGAAGCAGGCCUGCCUAGUUUGUGGGUGGGUUGACGGUAGCUGGAUAAGAAGCGCCGGCUAACUACGUG
Molecule: ribosomal RNA, 494 nt
Filed under: uncultured bacterium
Lineage: Bacteria
Description: partial 16S ribosomal RNA
Rfam family: Bacterial small subunit ribosomal RNA
Source: RNAcentral